AACGCAUAUUGCGCUCUUUGGUAUUCCGAAGAGCAUGCUUGUUUGAGUAUCAGUAAACACCUCAAAGACAUUUCUGAUUUAUUUUCUGGAAUGGCUUUGGACUUGAGCAAUCCCAACACCAGUCGUUUACGAUCGGCGGAGGGUUGCUUGAAAUGCAGGUGCAGCUGGACAUUCUCCUGAGCUAUAAGCAUAUCUAUUUAGUCCCGUCAAACGGAUUAUUACUUUUGCUGCAGCUAACAUAAAGGGAGUCUGACCGUAUUGGCUGACUGAUGCAGGAUUUCACAGGGGUUGGAAACGACUCUUGUAAAACUCGAUCUCAAAUCAAGUAAGACUACCCGCUGAACUUAA
RNAcentral lists this unclassified non-coding RNA (348 nucleotides) under uncultured Mortierella. RNAcentral describes it as "sequence contains ITS2". Lineage: Eukaryota; Fungi; Mortierellomycota; Mortierellomycetes; Mortierellales; Mortierellaceae. The record is from RNAcentral.